Molecule: long non-coding RNA, 654 nt
Organism: Zea mays
Lineage: Eukaryota; Viridiplantae; Streptophyta; Magnoliopsida; Poales; Poaceae
Exons: 2
Source: RefSeq, a predicted model, not a curated record
CUGAAACACCAGCUUUACAAAAGAUGGCUACAAGGAUAUUAUCUUUGACAUCAAGCUCUUCUGGUUGUGAAAGAAAUUGGAGUGGGUUUGAAGGGAUACACACUAAGAAGAGAAAUAGGCUGACUACAACCCGCCUCAACAAGUUGGUCUAUAUUCAGUUCAAUAACAGGCUGAUGAAUAACAGAGAAAAGAUUAAGUCAAAGAAAAUCACUGAUGUUCUCUAGUCUAGUGAUACAACUGAAGCUCAAGGUUUUCUCCAAGAGGGUGGAGAUGAUUGUGCACAAGUUGUCUUUAGAGAUGAGGAGGAAGAUGAGAUGGAAGGUACAUGGAUACCUUGGUCUGUUAUUGGAGAGGCAGUUGGAGCAGAAGAACAGCUUGAGCCUCGUAGAAGUGCAAGAGUGAGAGAGCUCUAUGAAGGAGAAGACUUUGAGUCUGAAGAAGAAGAGUAUGAAGAUGAAGAUUUGUGCUACAGUGAAGAUGAAAUAUGAUCUGGACCAUCUCCAUCUAGUAGUGAAGCCUUUUGUGAUGCCCUGGUCUUAUGAACUGCAGCUGUGUCACUUUGUGUCUGUGUGUCUUCUUUUGUGUGAGACCUGAACUAAGAACUAUGUGCUUGUGUUGUCCUUUAUUUAUAAAUUGUGUUCUGCACUUGUAUUA